AUGUCCAUCUUCGACGAGUUCUACAUUGGGUCCAUCGACCUCGGGCGCCUCAACUAUGGGAUCAUUUCACUCAUCCCAAAGGUGCCUGGGGCAUCCGGAAUCCGCCAAUUUUGUCCGAUCACGGUGAUUAAUGUGAUCUUCCGGAUUCUGGCAAAAUGGUACGCCAAUAGGGUGACCCUUCUUGCCGACCUCAUCACCACCCCAACCAAUCCGCCUUCAUUCAAGGCCGGUAUACCUGAUGGGGUGCUAGUCCUUCACGAAGUUCUGCAUGAGGUCCGAUCAAAACACCUCAGGGCAGUCUUCCUGAAGAUCGAUUUCCAUAAGGCAUAUGACACUAUUAGCUGGCCCUUCCUUCGGGAAGUUUUG
Molecule: ribosomal RNA, 366 nt
Filed under: Triticum aestivum (bread wheat)
Lineage: Eukaryota; Viridiplantae; Streptophyta; Magnoliopsida; Poales; Poaceae
Description: partial small subunit ribosomal RNA
Source: RNAcentral